Molecule: ribosomal RNA, 269 nt
Filed under: uncultured Planctomycetales bacterium
Lineage: Bacteria; Pseudomonadati; Planctomycetota; Planctomycetia; Planctomycetales
Description: partial 16S ribosomal RNA
Rfam family: Bacterial small subunit ribosomal RNA
Source: RNAcentral
GAGCACGUAGGUGGGUUUGUAAGUCAGAUGUGAAAGCCUUCGGUUCAACGGAAGAAUCGCAUCUGAAACUGCGAGUCUUGAGUGUAGGAGGGGAGAAUGGAACUUCUGGUGGAGCGGUGAAAUGCGUAGAUAUCAGAAGGAACGCCGGCGGCGAAAGCGAUUCUCUGGCCUAUUACUGACACUCAGUGUGCGAAAGCUAGGGGAGCAAACGGGAUUAGAUACCCCGGUAGUCCUAGCCGUAAACGAUGGGCACUAAGUAGAGGGGUUUU